RNAcentral lists this long non-coding RNA (1924 nucleotides) under Pogona vitticeps (central bearded dragon). RNAcentral's name for it is "lncRNA (ENSPVIG00000002005.1)". Lineage: Eukaryota; Metazoa; Chordata; Lepidosauria; Squamata; Agamidae. The record is from RNAcentral.
AAAAUACUGGUGAUUAUGCAAUCUAGCCCACGGCUCCAUCCCUUAAGGAAACAUAUUGUGUUGUCAGUUACAUAACCGGAUGGAGAUAGUUUAGCUCCUCGCACAGCACACCACAACCAGCUUCCACCUCCUGCAUGAUAAAAUGGGGGCAAAUAAAGUUUGGGAAAAAAGGAGAAUAAUCAUCGAAGGAAAUAAAAGUGUUACCACCUUUUUGGGGGGUUUUUUGGUUGUUUUUUAAAGAUGCAAUCUGGAUUUUUAGAACUCCUGCUGAGCCAAUUUCUCUAAGUGCCUAUAUAAAAGCUGACCCUAAUCCACCAUUACGUAUUGCUAAACCAUCGUCCUUAAGCCCUUGCUUAUCCCAUUUGCCGGACUCUGCAGCCUAAGCCCACACGGGAGGCAGACCUUCAGCGGCAGCCCGCGCAAAGCUGUCCGGCCACCAGCAGGAAAGAUCACAGUGUGGAAUGAUAACGCAACGAGCGAAACAAGAGCUACCUGGACGGCUAGCAGAAGAUAAAAUGCCCAGAUUCAACUGCACAGUGAGUGAAGUUACGGUGAUGAACCUCCAACCGGCUAAGAAACCGACCCCAGUAAUACCUGCAGACAAAAAGGGGAAGGGUCUCAGAUCUCCCAGUUUCCACCGUUCUGCUCCUAACCUUUCAGAGACGCUGUCCGUCCCAGAGGGGACCAACGCCCAGGCUGAAAUAACACCUAAAGAAGGUGUCUCUUCUUCUAAACCCUUUUAUGCAGGAGAGGCUCAAAGUAUGGAUAAUCUUGCACUGAAACGGCCAGUGAAGUUGGCUCCUCUUGAGAUCCCCUUGGAAGUCAAGGAGGCUCAGCUGAAGAAGAUCAUGAGCAUCCAAAGAGAUGCCCAGCUGGCUGCUUUUAAGCUAGCUAGUGUUGGCUCCUUCGGCAGUGAGCCUCAUGUCAAGAGGGUGAAAAAUGUGCCGCAGCUAGAGAGGGAAAACUUCCCCAAGUCCAAGACCUUUGACAGCUCCACUUUACAGAAUAAAGGGAGCAUCCAUUCAUUAAGUGUUGCCAAAUCCUCUUGUGAGAUUCAGAUUAUCUUGCCCACUGAGGAAAAUGCCAAGCCAGCUAAGAAAGAUGAGUCCCCUAUGCCGUGCCGUAAACCUUUGAUCCCCCAGAACAAUCUGCAAGCUCUCGAUUCACAGAAGGACAUGAAGAUUUCAGAAAACUCUUCACAGGGAACCGGCCGGCGUCGCUUCACACUGAAGCAGAUGAAGGAACAACAAGAGUUGAUGGGCAAAGGCAGACCUUUGAAAGCUACGGGGGUUGGCUUAGAGGAAAGCAAGACAAAAACCGCAAGCCAACGAGCUCACAAGACCCUCAGUGAAGCAAGCAGAUUGAUCAACACCCUGGCCAAAAAGCAUAGGGGCCCAGAGGAGGAUCAGGAUGAGGCAGAUGAUGAUCUCCUUACAGGGAGGCUGUCCUCACGGAGGAUGGCUGUAGGAGAUGUCAUCCAGGCUGAUGAAGAAUGAAGCUGGACAGUAGAUACCACCCUGUUUCAGGCACUGUGCUCAUAAUACUGACAUGGCUACAGUGGCAUACUGUAUUCUUGAAGGGACAUAUACUGCCUGAAACUUCCCCAUAUUGAAAAAGUCUAUUAUUUGGCUGGCAUUGUCCCUCCAGAAGUAUGGUGGGAGGUGCUAGCAAAUAAUGAAUGGAACAGGAAAACACUGCACCAAAAUCAUCAACUUCAUGGACUCCAACCCUCUAGACAAUGAUUAAAAAUGAAGAAAUGUUUUCUGCUCCCAUCUCAAGCUCUAAGAGGCCAGGCUAAACGUACGGAAAAUGAAGAUAACCACCUUGCCGAGUGUAUGAAUGCUGAAGAGUGUUUCCCACCAGAACAAGACUCUAGCUGGAUCAUCUGCAAGUCACUUAAUAAACUCUUAAAUAAAGUAAGACA